Molecule: ribosomal RNA, 253 nt
Filed under: uncultured bacterium
Lineage: Bacteria
Description: partial 16S ribosomal RNA
Rfam family: Bacterial small subunit ribosomal RNA
Source: RNAcentral
UACGAAGGGGGCUAGCGUUGCUCGGAAUCACUGGGCUUAAAGGGAGCGCAGGCGGAUUAGUAAGUCAGUGGUGAAAGCCUUAAGCUUAACUUGGGAACUGCCAUUGAUACUAUUAGUCUUGAAUGUUGUUGAGGUUUGCGGAAUGGGUCAUGUAGCGGUGAAAUGCAUAGAUAUGACCCGGAACACCUAUUGCGAAGGCAGCAGGCUAAACAAAUAUUGACGCUGAGGCUCGAAAGCGUGGGGAUCAAGCAGG